Molecule: ribosomal RNA, 840 nt
Filed under: uncultured bacterium
Lineage: Bacteria
Description: bacterial SSU rRNA
Rfam family: Bacterial small subunit ribosomal RNA
Source: RNAcentral
GAUGAACGCUGGCGGCGUGCCUAACACAUGCAAGUCGAGCGAUUUACUUCGGUAAAGAGCGGCGGACGGGUGAGUAACGCGUGGGUAACCUGCCUCAUACACAUGGAUAACAUACCGAAAGGUAUGCUAAUACAGGAUAAUAUAAGAGAUUCACAUGGAUUUUUUAUCAAAGCUCCGGCGGUAUGAGAUGGACCCGCGUCUGAUUAGCUAGUUGGUAAGGUAAUGGCUUACCAAGGCGACGAUCAGUAGCCGACCUGAGAGGGUGAUCGGCCACAUUGGAACUGAGACACGGUCCAAACUCCUACGGGAGGCAGCAGUGGGGAAUAUUGCACAAUGGGCGAAAGCCUGAUGCAGCAACGCCGCGUGAGUGAUGAAGGCCUUCGGGUCGUAAAACUCUGUCCUCAAGGAAGAUAAUGACGGUACUUGAGGAGGAAGCCCCGGCUAACUACGUGCCAGCAGCCGCGGUAAUACGUAGGGGGCUAGCGUUAUCCGGAUUUACUGGGCGUAAAGGGUGCGUAGGUGGUUUUUUAAGUCAGGAGUGAAAGGCUACGGCUCAACCGUAGUAAGCUCUUGAAACUGGAAAACUUGAGUGCAGGAGGGGAAAGUGGAAUUCCUAGUGUAGCGGUGAAAUGCGUAGAUAUUAGGAGGAACACCAGUAGCGAAGGCGGCUUUCUGGACUGUAACUGACACUGAGGCACGAAAGCGUGGGGAGCAAACAGGAUUAGAUACCCUGGUAGUCCACGCCGUAAACGAUGAGUACUAGGUGUCGGGGGUUACCCCCCUCGGUGCCGCAGCUAACGCAUUAAGUACUCCGCCUGGGGAGUACGCUCGCAAGAGUGA